Molecule: small nuclear RNA, 107 nt
Filed under: Sciurus vulgaris (Eurasian red squirrel)
Lineage: Eukaryota; Metazoa; Chordata; Mammalia; Rodentia; Sciuridae
Source: RNAcentral
GGGCUCACUUCAGCAGCACAUAUACUGUAAUUGGAACAAUACAGAGAAGAUUAGCAUGGCCCCUGAGCAAGAAUGACAUGCAAAUAAAUGAAUCAUUCCAUGUUUUU